UACAGAGGGGGCAAGCGUUGUUCGGAAUUACUGGGCGUAAAGGGCGCGUAGGCGGCCUGUUAAGUCGGACGUGAAAUCCCUCGGCUCAACCGGGGAACUGCGUCCGAUACUGGCGGGCUUGAAUUCGGGAGAGGGAUGUGGAAUUCCAGGUGUAGCGGUGAAAUGCGUAGAUAUCUGGAGGAACACCGGUGGCGAAGGCGGCAUCCUGGACCGGCAUUGACGCUGAGGCGCGAAAGCUAGGGGAGCAAGCAGG
RNAcentral lists this ribosomal RNA (253 nucleotides) under uncultured bacterium. RNAcentral describes it as "partial 16S ribosomal RNA". It matches the Rfam family "Bacterial small subunit ribosomal RNA", at positions 524 to 776 of the family's 1533-position model. The record is from RNAcentral.